UCAAACUCUCUCGAAACCCUAAUCGCCUUCUACCACUCCAACCCCAAAGCAACCGGAAUUCAUGCCUGCUCAGGCCGUGGACGACCUAAACUCACCUCCUACUACUAUUAUGUGCCUGAUGCAAUAAGGUUCAAGGCUAUACUUCAAGGGUCUUCACUUAGACCUUCGCCAAUUCGAGGUUUCCGGCCAUUUCCGGCCUUGCUCCAGCGUAUCUUAGCCUCCUGAGUCUGAUCCCGACCUUAUCGACCUAGAUUGGACCUUUUCAAAGCCUUUCUCACUCUAGGGUUCCUCUGAAACCCUACCUUUGAG
RNAcentral lists this long non-coding RNA (309 nucleotides) under Nicotiana benthamiana. Its description in RNAcentral is "long non-coding RNA (NBEN_LNC021110)". Lineage: Eukaryota; Viridiplantae; Streptophyta; Magnoliopsida; Solanales; Solanaceae. The record is from RNAcentral.